RNAcentral lists this long non-coding RNA (489 nucleotides) under Heterocephalus glaber (naked mole-rat). RNAcentral's name for it is "lncRNA (ENSHGLG00000038972.1)". The record is from RNAcentral. Lineage: Eukaryota; Metazoa; Chordata; Mammalia; Rodentia; Bathyergidae.
CAGGGAAUGAGAGGAGUGGAGACGUGUUCCAGAUGUGGAGUCAGCAAGCUCUACAACUGGAAGGUGAGGGGCAGGAAGGAGUCCAGGUUUCUGGUUUGGAAACUAGGUGGAUGGUGAUAUCUCAGCUAAGCCAAGGGUCAUAGCUGGAGGAAAAGGAGCUUUGGACCUGGCGGAGCCAUCAGAAUGUUCAUCCCUGUGCUGUCCACCCAGGAAAGCAAGCGUCAGCCUGUGGGGCUGCUCUGUGGCAGCACAGACAGCUUGUGGAAGACAGGAGGAUGGUCAUUAGCCUCAUCUGUAAGGCCCAGCAGAAGGCUCUGGAGGGCCUUUCAGGGCUGUGCUCGCAGUGCCUGGGUGGGAGGCUUGCGGGGAGGGGGGUCCUGCACUCUGCCAAACCUGCCCUGGGCCCCUCCCUCUGGCACUGUUUGCGUAUCUUCCUGCUUCCUCCAGACAUCUCAUUCUCCUUGGAUUGUAAAUAAAAGAACAAUAUAG